GACUUAUCAAGAAAGGUGGAGGGAUUUGGCCCUGAGAAACCUUAGCAACCCUUGUCGGAAACGACGUAGAAGGUGCUAACUCCAAUCCCGAUAAUAUCGGGACAGAUAAGCG
This 112-nucleotide non-coding RNA is filed under the name Reichenbachiella faecimaris. Its description in RNAcentral is "SAM-I sequence". It matches the Rfam family "SAM riboswitch aptamer (S box leader)". From Rfam's summary of the family: The SAM riboswitch is found upstream of a number of genes which code for proteins involved in methionine or cysteine biosynthesis in Gram-positive bacteria. Lineage: Bacteria; Pseudomonadati; Bacteroidota; Cytophagia; Cytophagales; Reichenbachiellaceae. The record is from Rfam by way of RNAcentral.